RNAcentral lists this transfer RNA (73 nucleotides) under Cyanothece sp. SIO2G6. RNAcentral's name for it is "tRNA-Thr". It matches the Rfam family "tRNA". Rfam says of the family: Transfer RNA (tRNA) molecules are approximately 80 nucleotides in length. Their secondary structure includes four short double-helical elements and three loops (D, anti-codon, and T loops). Lineage: Bacteria; Bacillati; Cyanobacteriota; Cyanophyceae; Gomontiellales; Cyanothecaceae. The record is from RNAcentral. RNAcentral also lists the same sequence under 1 other name.
GCUGGUGUAGCUCAGUUGGUAGAGCAGCUGAUUUGUAAUCAGCCGGCCGCAAGUUCGAGUCUUGUCACCAGCU